GGGGAAUAUUGGACAAUGGGGGCAACCCUGAUCCAGCCAUGCCGCGUGUGUGAAGAAGGCCUGCGGGUUGUAAAGCACUUUUAGUGGGGAAGAUAAUGACGUUACCCACAGAAAAAGCACCGGCUAACUCCGUGCCAGCAGCCGCGGUAAUACGGAGGGUGCAAGCGUUAAUCGGAAUUACUGGGCGUAAGGCGUGCGUAGGCGGCUCUUUAAGUCGGAUGUGAAAUCCCCGGGCUCAACCUGGGAACUGCAUCCGAUACUGGGGAGCUAGAAUGUGGGAGAGGGAAGUGGAAUUUCCGGUGUGGCGGUGAAAUGCAUAGAGAUCGGAAGGAACAUCAGUGGCGAAGGCGACUUCCUGGACCAACAUUGACGCUGAGGCACGAAAGCGUGGGUAGCAAAC
Molecule: ribosomal RNA, 400 nt
Filed under: uncultured bacterium
Lineage: Bacteria
Description: bacterial SSU rRNA
Rfam family: Bacterial small subunit ribosomal RNA
Source: RNAcentral